Molecule: ribosomal RNA, 350 nt
Filed under: uncultured bacterium
Lineage: Bacteria
Description: partial 16S ribosomal RNA
Rfam family: Bacterial small subunit ribosomal RNA
Source: RNAcentral
CCUACGGGGCGCAGCAGUCGAGAAUCAUUCACAAUGGGGGAAACCCUGAUGGUGCGACGCCGCGUGGGGGAAUGAAGGUCUUCGGAUUGUAAACCCCUGUCAUGUGGGAGCAAAUUAAAAAGAUAGUACCACAAGAGGAAGAGACGGCGAACUCUGUGCCAGCAGCCGCGGAAAUACAGAGGUCUCAAGCGUUGUUCGGAAUCAAUGGGCGUAAAGCGUGCGUAGGCUGUUUCGUAAGUCGUGUGUGAAAGGAGCGGGCUCAACCCGGGGACGGCAAAUGAUACUGCGAGACUAGAGUAAUGGAGGGGGAACCGGAAUUCUCGGUGUAGCAGUGAAAUGCGUAGAUAUCG